UAGGGAAUUUUCGGCAAUGGGGGCAACCCUGACCGAGCAACGCCGCGUGAACGACGAAGUACUUCGGUAUGUAAAGUUCUUUUAUCAGGGAAGAAUGGCUUACGGAAAAGUGAGCGUGACGGUACCUGAUGAAUAAGCCCCGGCUAACUAUGUGCCAGCAGCCGCGGUAAUACAUAGGGGGCAAGCGUUAUCCGGAAUUAUUGGGCGUAAAGGGUGCGUAGGUGGCCGUUUAAGUCUUUGGUGUAAGUGCAAGGCUCAACCUUGUGAUGCUAAAGAAACUGGAUGGCUUGAGUGUGGUAGAGGCAAGUGGAAUUCCAUGUGUAGCGGUAAAAUGCGUAAAUAUAUGGAGGAACACCGGUGGCGAAGGCGGCUUGCUGGGCCACAACUGACACUGAGGCACGAAAGCGUGGGGAGCAAACAU
Molecule: ribosomal RNA, 421 nt
Filed under: uncultured bacterium
Lineage: Bacteria
Description: bacterial SSU rRNA
Rfam family: Bacterial small subunit ribosomal RNA
Source: RNAcentral